Long non-coding RNA from Xenia sp. Carnegie-2017, 1155 nucleotides. RefSeq lists it as uncharacterized. The record is from RefSeq and is a predicted model, not a curated record. The transcript is spliced from 6 exons. Lineage: Eukaryota; Metazoa; Cnidaria; Anthozoa; Malacalcyonacea; Xeniidae.
CAAAUGUAAAUUUCACAAAAAAUGAUGAACACAAAGACAGAAAGACAGCAUAGAACAGACACUGUUAGUUUCCAGUUGAGUAUUCUGUUCACUGUGAGUCAAACUAUUUGAUCGAGAAAAAAUCAUGAAGACAACCGUACCAGCUUUGCUCACAAUCGUUUUACUUGGCUUGGCCUUCAUGUUAGGUCAAGCAUACGGGAAAGGCAAGCUUAGUUAUGCUAUAUUUUCCGAAGAUGAAGGCAGUUGCAGAGCUGUCGAACCAAAAGCCAGAAUAGAUUGCGGUUAUCUAGGAAUAACACGAGGAGAAUGUGUAAACAACAAUUGCUGUUGGGACACAAGCAUUAAAAACGUUCCCUGGUGUUUUUACCAAUAACAUUUUUGAAUGAAGAUUUCUGGUGACGCGAUGAUGAAUAUUAUUGUCAGUUAAUUUGACUGUAGAUGUUGCAAUCAAAUAUGUUCUUGUGGUAUUGUAACAUUCGUCAAGCAUUAAAUUUUCUACUGAGUUAAUGAAAUGUUUGUCUUAAUUUAUAAACACAUAUAUCUUCUUGUAAAACAUAGUAUUGGCCAUAUAUCUUCUUUUAAAUUCCAACAUUGGCAGACCAACCAGGAAUUGGAAAUGUAUCAAUGAACAAAACACAUUUUGAAUUCGAAAGAAAUGCACCAAAUGAUAUCGGACCUCGUUAUUUUCUCCAUGAAAAAUCCCCGUAAAGCUCGAGCGAGCACCGUAAGACAACUAAAAACUGGGUAAAGCAGUUUUUUAAAACGAAGAAAGAUUCUCCUCGUAACUUUCGAUGUAAAAGAUCGAUGAAGAUAAUUCAAAGAGUCAUUUCGUCAACUGUGUUUAACGGUCGCAAUAUUCGCACCAGCCUUCAGCUUUGGCUUUUUGUCGAGCAUCAAUUUGCAAACAAACCUCAGGGGAUAUAGUGUCGCACGGAGCUCGAUAACUGGGGGUAUUCAUAAAGGCUAACCGAGGAGUCCUUUGGGAGAACUCGAGAGCAGAUCAGGUCGACUGGUCGAGUGAAACAGCUUCGAAACCAUCUUCCUAUCUUUAAGCAACUUUCCACAUCCAGUAAAUAGUUAGGGAGAUAUCUGGGGAUAUCAAUGUAUAUAUGUAUACAUAUUGUAUAUAUCAAUACAAAUUGCAAAGUCAUUGAU